GAGUUUGAUUCUGGCUCAGGAUGAACGCUGGCGGCGUGCUUAACACAUGCAAGUCGAACGAAGCGGGAAGGAAGAAGUUUUUCGAAAUGGAUUUUUUCUUUGCUUAGUGGCGGACGGGUGCGUAACACGUAGGUAACCUGCCCUGUGCUUGGGAAUAACUCCGGGAAACCGGUGCUAAUGCCGAAUAAUAUCGCCUGUCGGCAUCGAGAGGCGAUCAAAGAAUUUUGGCACAGGAUGGGCCUGCGCCGGAUUAGCUGGUUGGUGAGGUAACGGCUCACCAAGGCGACGAUCCGUAGCCGACCUGAGAGGGUGAUCGGCCACACUGGAACUGAGACACGGUCCAGACUCCUACGGGAGGCAGCAGUGGGGAAUAUUGCACAAUGGGGGAAACCCUGAUGCAGCAACGCCGCGUGAGCGAUGAAGGCUUUCGAGUCGUAAAGCUCUGUCCUAUGGGAAGAUGAUGACGUACCAUAGGAGGAGCCCC
This 484-nucleotide ribosomal RNA is filed under the name Peptostreptococcaceae bacterium canine oral taxon 071. Its description in RNAcentral is "bacterial SSU rRNA". It matches the Rfam family "Bacterial small subunit ribosomal RNA", at positions 9 to 494 of the family's 1533-position model. Lineage: Bacteria; Bacillati; Bacillota; Clostridia; Peptostreptococcales; Peptostreptococcaceae. The record is from RNAcentral.